GACGAACGCUGGCGGCGUGCUUAACACAUGCAAGUCGAACGGAAAGGCCCUGCUUUUGUGGGGUGCUCGAGUGGCGAACGGGUGAGUAACACGUGAGUAACCUGCCCUUGACUUUGGGAUAACUUCAGGAAACUGGGGCUAAUACCGGAUAGGAGCUCCUGCUGCAUGGUGGGGGUUGGAAAGUUUCGGCGGUUGGGGAUGGACUCGCGGCUUAUCAGCUUGUUGGUGGGGUAGUGGCUUACCAAGGCUUUGACGGGUAGCCGGCCUGAGAGGGUGACCGGCCACAUUGGGACUGAGAUACGGCCCAGGCUCCUACGGGAGGCAGCAGUGGGGAAUAUUGCACAAUGGGCGGAAGCCUGAUGCAACAACGCCGCGUGCGGGAUGACGGCCUUCGGGUUGUAAACCGCUUUCGCCUGUGACGAAGCGUGAGUGACGGUAAUGGGUAAAGAAGCACCGGCUAACUACGUGCCAGCAGCCGCGGUGAUACGUACGGUGCGAGCGUUGUCCGGAUUUAUUGGGCGUAAAGGGCUCGUAGGUGGUUGAUCGCGUCGGAAGUGUAAUCUUGGGGCUUAACCCUGAGCGUGCUUUCGAUACGGGUUGACUUGAGGAAGGUAGGGGAGAAUGGAAUUCCUGGUGGAGCGGUGGAAUGCGCAGAUAUCAGGAGGAACACCAGUGGCGAAGGCGGUUCUCUGGGCCUUUCCUGACGCUGAGGAGCGAAAGCGUGGGGAGCGAACAGGCUUAGAUACCCUGGUAGUCCACGCUGUAAACGGUGGGUACUAGGUGUGGGGUCCAUUCCACGGGUUCCGUGCCGUAGCUAACGCUUUAAGUACCCCGCCUGGGGAGUACGGCCGCAAGGCUAAAACUCAAAGGAAUUGACGGGGCCCCGCACAAGCGGCGGAGCAUGCGGAUUAAUUCGAUGCAACGCGUAGAACCUUACCUGGGUUUGACAUGGAUCGGGAGCGCUCAGAGAUGGGUGUGCCUCUUUUGGGGUCGGUUCACAGGUGGUGCAUGGCUGUCGUCAGCUCGUGUCGUGAGAUGUUGGGUUAAGUCCCGCAACGAGCGCAACCCUUGUUCACUGUUGCCAGCACGUUAUGGUGGGGACUCAGUGGAGACCGCCGGGGUCAACUCGGAGGAAGGUGGGGAUGACGUCAAGUCAUCAUGCCCCUUAUGUCCAGGGCUUCACGCAUGCUACAAUGGCUGGUACAGAGAGUGGCGAGCCUGUGAGGGUGAGCGAAUCUCGGAAAGCCGGUCUCAGUUCGGAUUGGGGUCUGCAACUCGACCUCAUGAAGUCGGAGUCGCUAGUAAUCGCAGAUCAGCAACGCUGCGGUGAAUACGUUCCCGGG
This 1343-nucleotide ribosomal RNA is filed under the name uncultured bacterium. RNAcentral describes it as "16S ribosomal RNA". It matches the Rfam family "Bacterial small subunit ribosomal RNA", at positions 28 to 1378 of the family's 1533-position model. The record is from RNAcentral.